Molecule: transfer RNA, 91 nt
Filed under: Gormaniella terricola
Lineage: Eukaryota; Viridiplantae; Chlorophyta; Chlorophyceae; Chaetopeltidales; Chaetopeltidaceae
Description: tRNA-Ser
Rfam family: tRNA
About the family: Transfer RNA (tRNA) molecules are approximately 80 nucleotides in length. Their secondary structure includes four short double-helical elements and three loops (D, anti-codon, and T loops). Further hydrogen bonds mediate the characteristic L-shaped molecular structure. tRNAs have two regions of fundamental functional importance: the anti-codon, which is responsible for specific mRNA codon recognition, and the 3' end, to which the tRNAs corresponding amino acid is attached (by aminoacyl-tRNA synthetases). tRNAs cope with the degeneracy of the genetic code in two manners: having more than one tRNA (with a specific anti-codon) for a particular amino acid; and 'wobble' base-pairing, i.e. permitting non-standard base-pairing at the 3rd anti-codon position.
Source: RNAcentral
GGAGAGGUGGCUGAGUGGUCGAAAGCGACUGAUUGCUAAUUGGUUGUAGGGCGUCAUUUCCCUACCGAGGGUUCGAACCCCUCUCUCUCCU